Molecule: long non-coding RNA, 4910 nt
Organism: Dreissena polymorpha
Lineage: Eukaryota; Metazoa; Mollusca; Bivalvia; Myida; Dreissenidae
Exons: 4
Source: RefSeq, a predicted model, not a curated record
AAUUGAAUGGAAACCAAACAGCAGUUGUGGUGUAUGAAAGAAUGAUGGAGAGUUCGUCCCCAAUGUGUUUGUUAUAAUUUGAAGAAACAUUAUUUUACCUUUCUGGUUAAUGUCAUCAAAUUAACCUGAAAUUAUAUUAGCAGCAAUUGUCAGUGUUUAUAUCGGGUAAGAAAUUAGAGAAAUGUUAUAACUUUAUUGAAUUAUAGAAUUUAUAUUGUGGCUUAGUUUUUACAUGAACACUUGCAAGCAUUAAAUAAACUUCUCAGUAAAUUGGUUAGUAGCUGACAUGCCACCCACCAAACUUAUUUGAAAGUAUUCAAUACAUUCAUUCUUCUGUACCUUGUAUUUCUUGGAAGUGGUUGUUGAAAGACGUUGAUAGUAGUGUUUGGAAAACAUCAUCAUUAAUCAAAUUCAAUUGAGCAAAUUUACUUCCUGUUUGGUUGGCAAGUUUUGACAAGUGCUUAAUUUCAUUUGACCUUGCCUUAGUUCGAGGUGUAUCGACAAUAUGACAUAACCUGUCUUCAUUAACCAAUACAUUUGGAUGCCAAAAAAAGUCUGCAAUUUAAUUUGGACCCCCAGCUGUUUUUGCCCUUGAAAGUGCUACAAAGAGAGCUCCGGGAUUCUUUGACUCAAAAGACUUUGUACCUGGAUCAAUAACUAUGUAGCGAUUUGUUUCACCAUGUCCGAUUGUCAUGCCUUGACAUCGGUGAAUUGUUGUACCCCAGGCAAGCCUUAAAGGUAAUUGUUUUCGUUUGCAACCAUGACAAUAACAUUCCACUUUUCUUUCUGCAGGUACAAGAGGGACAAUGCAUGGGUUGUCUUUCAUAAAAGGUGGUCCUGUGUACCUUGGGAAAUGCACCAUAACAACAUCUGGUUGACAAAGAGGUGGUUUGUUACCAUUACAGUAUAUAAUGUCAACUAUGGUCCCAAUGGAGCCAUUGAACAAACCAUAGGGAACAUUAAGAUUGCAGAUUUGCACUGUUACCUGUGGGACAAAGGACUUGAACAGAAUCAUGAGAAUGGAACAAGUGUCUUAUUGCCUGUACAAGACAUUUAAUGAGGAACGACUUGCCAGAGCCAGCAGUUCCACUGACCACUAGUCGAAGAGGUGUAAAUGGCCGUGACAAAUAUUUAUCCAGAGGUGUACUUUUUGUGCAAGUGUUGCCAGUUUUUUUCAAGUACCCUUGACCCAGACAUGCUUACUGACUGAAACUGGUGACUGCUGUGAAACAAAGAUUCAGGUGGUGCGGGUGCAUUUCCCUCGGGAGGAGGCCACAGAUCCUUGUUUGGAUUACCAGAGGCAUCAGAACCGGCAGGAUGCAUUGCGGUCAUGGCAAAAUUUUGCUGUGCCCACUCAGAGAGCUUACUGGCACAGACAUCUUCAUCCAGACCGUUUUUCAAAGCCUCAUGAAGAAGAUUGUGUGGUUCUCUGUCAGAUCUCCAACAUAGUCCAUGAAAGUGAAUCAUGCCUCUGGAUUUGGCAAACUCAUACCUGUACCAGAAAGUAUCAAUCUUAAAUGCAGUUUUCAUUACAGUUUCAAAGUAUUCUUGUGUCCGAAGAUUAAAGUAAUGUGAGACAAUGUGACUGUUAUUUUGAAGAAUAGAAAAUAGAAUGUUUUGUCGUUAAGAUCAACAAUUUCACCAGUUGUUUGUAGAUUGUAUUGAGUUAAAAGUCUCCUUAGUGGUGCAAAGUAAAAUUCAGCACAGCUAGCAGUGCUGAAAAAUGAAGGGAGGCCUUUUCCAGCAUUAAUUUGGUACUGAAUAAGUGCUCUUAACUCUUGUGCUCUUCUGGACCAGUAUUGUGAAGUUCCUCGAAGAGAAGCACCAAAGUACAAGAUUUUUUGUGCAAUAGAACUAUCACCAUUUUGAAUUCUUUGCUUAAGGUCAGUGAUGGACAUGUGCUCAUCACCGAUCUGUUGUUUCAUGAUGUAUGUGCUCUGUUCUAAAGCUCUUUUACGUGAAAUAAUGUUAUGAACUAUGAACUUAAAGUGCUUGUGUUGUGCAAAACGACCCUCUGUGUACCAUAUCAAAUGUUCUGCCCAUUCACUCAUUGAAAAGCAAGUUCUUGGCCGAUUUAUGUGAAAGUCACCAACACAAUUGGGAAACAAACAUGGAAAUGCAAGAGUAAAAAAAUAUUGAGUUGUAAACUAUGAAACUGGACUAUUGUCUCUUGUUGGCCAUGGAAUAGUUACUGGAUUUUUUCUCGAACAUUUUUCUUUACUUUUAGGAUCUGUUUAGUGUUAUUUCUUGUAAAAUGGAUUCAAUGUUAUUUCUAAUAUUAACUGAUUCGUCUGGUAGUUGAACAGCUGAAACAGUAUCGCCAUUUAUUUCAUCAGGUGAUACUUGUUCUUUAGCUGGCCCUUGGUCUUUAUCAGUUGUGCUUUCAAAAUUACUGCUGAUUGUUUCAAGAUUUAUUUUCCCAUUUUCAGGAAGAAGAUUAAGUCUAUCUUGACUAAUAGUUAUAUCUGAGUAGGCCACAUUGUUGGAUUUAAGCCAAUUCAGUGCUGAUUGAACUGCAAAACGCCUUACUUUAAAGUCUUUGUGUAUUGCAUUAUUUCCAGUUUUCCGGACACAAAUUAUUUGAAUAUCUGUUGGAAGUUUUGGUAAAAUUUGACAUGGUUCAUUUAUAUUUUGUGGAAAUGUAACACAAUGGCCAUUUGCCGCAAUUCCACCAUGCUUAAGCAUAUGAAUAUACAUGAGUGGUGAUAUUCUGCUUAUUAGUUGCUGUUCAACUAAAGAUAAAUGGGAAAGUUCUGCAGGGACAUUUCCAGGGUCCAUAUUGUUUUGUUUAGAGAACAUUUUAAUGUCUGAUUUGUCAAUGUGACAACGAUGACAAACUGUAUUAUUGUACAUUUUCAUUUCAAUUCUACGUUCGUUACAUAUGUUACAGUACUAAAAUAUGUAAGACCUUUGUUUUAACUCGAAUGAUCGUAUGCUAUCCAUUGCAAUGUUAUGCUGGACACUUUGAGACAUUGGUGGUGGAGGUGGUAUUUGAUUAAAAUUUAAUGUUAGGUUUUUGACUGCUACAGACAAGGCAUAGGCAUUUUUUUAAAUCCGUCUUUUUAUUUCUAGUUUAUCUUCAUUUUGGUGAGGAUGAACAAAUGUUAUACCCAAUUUUCUACAACUCUGAAAUGUGUCCAAUUCCUUAGGAGUAAGAGCAGCUGUGCUAAUGUGUUCAUGAGUUUGUUUAAAAAGUUGUGUAGCUUUUGUGUUUUUCUUAAGGCUGUUUACGUAAGUGAUUUUCAGCUUUGCUUUUUUAACAGCUUUUGAUGGUAUAGCACUUUUCUUGGACUUUUUUAUAUUCUUGCUUUGUUGUGUUUUUUGUGUGUGCAAUAUUGGAACUGUUGACAGAGGAUUUGUUAGUGUAUUUAUGUUUGUGGGAUUAUUUUGUGAUAAAUGUGUAUGUUUCAUUAAUGCUCUGUUGUUGCCUGUGUUUGAAGUGUUCUUCCUCUCUGAAAGUAGUGUAAAGUGACUGUUCCAUAGAUGAAGAGUCACAUUAAGAUCAGAGUUAUGUGGUUAUAAGUGAGAAUGUUUUGUGUAAACAAUUGAGGUUAGUCCUGUUUCAGAAUUGCAUAUGCUGCCUUUUAACCAUGUGUCUAUGUUUAUUAGUUAGAUAUCACAUGCUGCUUUAAUUUCACAUAUUGUUGCCCAACCGCAUCUUGCAAUCAUUUGUAAGUGAUAUUCUUCCACUGAAUCAUUUACUAAUUCAUGUCCGCAAAUGGCAGACUGCUGCCAUGAAUUCCAGUUUGCAGUGACAUGUGUACAAAUCAUGUUUCUAUAAUAAGUGCUCAUUGAUAUAGUACCAUGUAAUGCUAAACUGAGGCAGCUAAAGAAACAAUUGCCAUCACCUGGCACAUUAAAGUUGUUAAAAACGUUUCCUUCUAUUACCACUGAAUUUGCAUGCAUUUUUAAGGAAUCUAAAUUGUACAGUUGAAUAGUGGAAUGUGUUGUCUGUAUUUUUUUGCUUGAAUUAUAACGUGUGACACUUGUACCCGUGUUGUUUGGCCUUCUUUUUUUUGGAGAGUAUUAUUGGAAGAUAUUUGUUCAUUUGCAUGUAUUGAUUUAUUUAUUUCCAUAUGCUUGGUUGUGCAUCUUUGCGUCAAAUGCUUGUUUUCGUCAGUUACGUGUGUUACAAGAGGUUGCUUACUUGUAUUAGUUACACAGCAGUUAACAAUCCCAGUUUUACUAGCAUUUGACUGGUGAAGUGAAACGCAGUUGUUCAUUUCAGUAGUUUUUACUUUGGAAUGACAUGUAAUGCCUCGAAUUACUUCAGCGUACGUACGUUUUUGUGAUUUUGUGUAUUCAAACAGGUUGCUUUUGAACUCAAUCUAUUUUCAAUGUGUGGUUGCAUGCAGUAAUUAUGUUCAGCAUUUGUGACAUUUAAAUGAUCUGUAUUACCACAAAAAGUGGUGAAGUAAACAGGUUUUUGAACAGAGUGACUAAAAUAAGAAUGUUCAUGUGAAACACAAAUAUUAUUUUCUAUAGUUUGGACCUUUUGGUUAUUUAAAAUACUUUUUGUAACUUCGGCGUAAGUACGCUUUCUAGAAUUUGCUUUUGUUGCUUUCGUUGAACUUGAGUUUUUUUCAAUAUGCGUAGGGAUGCAGUAAGUAUGUUCAGUGCGACUUGUAGAAGACAUUUUUAUAAUGGGAAAUGUAUUACUUUAGUGAGCCAAAAUAACGCUUUAAUGAAAAUAAAUGAAAUAUCAAAUUAAAUGCUACUUUUCCUAUGGUAUCAGAAAAUUGAAAUUUCUCAAUGGUAUAAUAAUUGGAAUAAGUCUUUAAUAAGUAGUGAAAAAAUGCCAGUAAAAAUAAUAUAUACAACUGAAUUACAUGAAUAUGAAAUUAAAUGUUGAAAUUUCUAUACCAUAAAUACGUGAAUAUGUGAAGUUUCUUGACUACCAGUACUUUGAA